GCUUUUCCAGUUCUUGUAAGCUGACAAGCUGAAGGAGUGUAACCACUGCCUCCCUUGCCCGCAGCCCUCCUGGGUUGCCCCUGGGCUUGGAGCCAGCUGGCUCAGUUGGAGGAGGCCCAGUGGUGCUGGUGGUGCCUGACACCAAUUAGUGUUUCUGCUCACUUGAGUCCAACCUGGGAGCUCUUCUGGGCAGGGGGGACCUUGGCUCUAUCAUCUCUGAGUCUCCAGGACCCAACAUGAGUUGGGAUGAAGGGGAGGGGCACCCAGGAGUCAGGUGUCCAGGGCGGUGUCCAUGCAUGCCAAUGGCUUUAUACCCCAGCCUGAGCGCACCUGGAAUUCAACCCAGAGGGAAAUGGGGGCAAGAAUGUCCGGAGCAGGUGUGUCUCCCCAUGUCCUGAAUUUAGGCCCUCCAUCUCUGGUAUUACAGCUCUCAGUCAGUCUGUUGGGGCCCCAGGAGCAACUAGCCUAUAUUCUGGGUCCAUUCGUCCAUCCAUCAUUCAUUUAUUCAUUCAGUACUGACCACCUCCUAUACACCAGCCUUGUGCAGGUUCUGGAGACAACCCUGCCCUCACCAUAAAGUCUGCCAAGUGUUAGGACAGAGCAAGCUGAGGGGACCCAACAGAACCCUAGCAGGGAUAACCCACCUUGCACAAGAGAUCAGAGAUCUCCCAUUAUGCACUCUGCAAAAGUUAGACCAUCUUCUUACUGACUGCAUCUCCUGGUGGAAUUUCAGGUCCAUUGAAAGGAAUGGGGACCCACUUUGGAGCAGCCACUGGGGAGAGCAGCCUACGCCCGACUCCAAAGGGAGUUGAGAAUUCUGGAGUGAAUCACCCCACUGGGGGCACAGGAUGCUCCAUGGGGGCUGAGGACCCAGAGAGUGAGAGCUCCUUCCAGCUGGGGGAAGGCAACCCUCUCCCCAGAGGGAUGCAGGUAGAAGAGCACUUUAAGAGAUGUUUGAAUAGUUUCUCCCAUCCUGGGCCAGGCAGUGCUCUGGAUAUUGGGCACUGGGGAGAGGAUGGACCACAGACACGCCCUGUCUGGUCUGGAAGGGGAGAUGGACAAGAGGCCUAUUACACUGGAGCAGGAUAAGCCUGAAGUGAGGACCAAAUGUCUGGAUAAGUGGCAGCCUGACCCAGUGGUCCAGGAGAGUAUAGGGUGAGGGCCGGCUUCCCAAGCCCAGUGGGUCCUGGGCUGGUCCACUCAGAUCUGGGUAGUGGGGCCCUUCAUGCUGCCCAGCUGUAUUGCCCUGGUCCUUUCCGUCUCCUGCUCUCCUGGGCCACGGUUUUAUGCUUUCUUCUCAAACUCUCCCAUAUCCCCCACCCACUCUGCCUCCCACUUCAACAAGAAAAUGGAACCACUCAGAAGAGAAGCCCCAUAGAUGUCCUCCCAGCUCUACCCAUGUACUCUGCCCUCCACCAUCCGCAUGGGUGAACCAGCCCUGCCU
Molecule: long non-coding RNA, 1444 nt
Filed under: Capra hircus (goat)
Lineage: Eukaryota; Metazoa; Chordata; Mammalia; Artiodactyla; Bovidae
Description: lncRNA (ENSCHIG00010001755.1)
Source: RNAcentral